RNAcentral lists this ribosomal RNA (506 nucleotides) under uncultured bacterium. RNAcentral describes it as "partial 16S ribosomal RNA". It matches the Rfam family "Bacterial small subunit ribosomal RNA", at positions 28 to 523 of the family's 1533-position model. The record is from RNAcentral.
GACGAACGCUGGCGGCGUGCUUAACACAUGCAAGUCGAGCGGAAAGGCCCCUUCGGGGGUACUCGAGCGGCGAACGGGUGAGUAACACGUGGGUAAUCAACCCCUGACAUCGGGAUACCCCGGGGAAACCCGGAUCAAUACCGGAUAAGGUGCGGAGGCGCAGGCCGCCGUACCAAAGGUAGCUUCGGCUUCCGGUCAGGGACGAGCCCGCGGCCCAUUAGCUUGUUGGUGGGGUAACGGCCCACCAAGGCGACGAUGGGUAGCUGGUCUGAGAGGACGAUCAGCCACACUGGGACUGAGACACGGCCCAGACUCCUACGGGAGGCAGCAGUGGGGAAUCUUGCGCAAGGGGCGGAAGCCGGACGCAGCAACGCCGCGUGCGGGAAGAAGGCCCUAGGGUCGUAAACCGCUUUCAGGGGGGACGAAGCUUCCGGGGUUAAUAGCCUACGGGGUGACGGUACUCCCAGAAGAAGGUCCGGCUAACUACGUGCCAGCCGCCGCGGUAA